This is a long non-coding RNA of Danio aesculapii, 786 nucleotides long. RefSeq lists it as uncharacterized. The record is from RefSeq and is a predicted model, not a curated record. NCBI's taxonomy places the organism in Eukaryota, Metazoa, Chordata, Actinopteri, Cypriniformes, Danionidae. The transcript has 4 exons.
CUAAGAUUUAAAUUUUACUUAUUUUUUUAAGCAAACUAGUGCAAUUACUAAGCUUAAUUUGAGAAACCAGUUAAGCUAAUAAAAUUGAGGAAAGAUGGCUUCACGUUUAUUUUAAGAAAAUUCACUCAAUUAUGUGGAUUUGAUUGAGAUGUUUGCAUUUGAAUCUCAACAACGGCAGUGAUCAGACGACAUUUUGAAGGAGCAGAUCAACAGCGAGCAUGUUAAGAGUUUAAUGAAGAAAACUUUCGCAGUGUUUUCCCACUAAAGAGGAGCAGUUUAUUGAGGCAGAUUUUGAUAAAGAGAAUGGGUGCCAUACAUCAGACCUCACAUUAAAUCAGGGAUGAAACGAGAGAUGUCGUCCUCUGUUGCUGGUCUAUCUGUAUGAAUAAGAGGAAGAGCUCAUCCAGGAGUGCAAUUGUGGGAAUGCACAGAGAAUUGCUGUCUGUCAGAGGGAUGACCAACCAUGAGGACUUCUGCAUUGUCUUGGAGGAUAAGUGAGUCAUGGCUAGCCUGGAAAAUCUAGAAUCGCUGAACUGGAUUUAUACAAAUAUUCCACAAAUUAAAAUCACUUACAAAGAAAUGAAUAUUAAGUUUGCAAUACACAAAUUCUGUCAAAUAUUGUCUAAAAUGUGACUAUUCCUACAAAGGAAAGUUGACAGGUCAGUUUUUUCCAUGACAUGGAUAAAGGAAUUUUUAUCAGAGAUUAGCAUUGCUGUAAAUUUUAUAUAGAUUUGUUUAACAUAUUGUACCAUUUUGUUAUCAGUGUAACAUGUAAUAAAAUGAUAU